The sequence is a small RNA, 93 nucleotides long. It matches the Rfam family "sRNA-Xcc1". The record is from Rfam.
GGUCGGGUAGCGUGUAGUACAUACAACACCCAGCUUGCUGGGGAAAACUACAGGCCGUCUCUUUGCGGGUUUGAAGUGCCCGACAACCCUAUU